GAUGAACGCUGGCGGCGUGCUUAACACAUGCAAGUCGAACGAAGAUGCCGGAGUGCUUGCACUUUGGCAGACUGAGUGGCGGACGGGUGAGUAACGCGUGGGUAACCUGCCUUAUACAGGGGGAUAACAGUUGGAAACGACUGCUAAUACCGCAUAAGCGCACGGUAUCGCAUGAUACAGUGUGAAAAACUCCGGUGGUAUAAGAUGGACCCGCGUCUGAUUAGCUUGUUGGUGAGGUAACGGCCCACCAAGGCGACGAUCAGUAGCCGGCCUGAGAGGGUGAACGGCCACAUUGGGACUGAGACACGGCCCAAACUCCUACGGGAGGCAGCAGUGGGGAAUAUUGCACAAUGGGGGGAAACCCUGAUGCAGCGACGCCGCGUGAGUGAUGAAGUAUUUCGGUAUGUAAAACUCUAUCAGCAGGGAAGAUAAUGACGGUACCUGACUAAGAAGCACCGGCUAAAUACGUGCCAGCAGCCG
This 480-nucleotide ribosomal RNA is filed under the name uncultured bacterium. RNAcentral's name for it is "bacterial SSU rRNA". It matches the Rfam family "Bacterial small subunit ribosomal RNA", at positions 28 to 517 of the family's 1533-position model. The record is from RNAcentral.